CUUGCUCCUCUUUCUGCUCUUGUGGCUUUUCCUGUUUUCUGCCACUAUGAACUGUUGCCCUAUACCAUGUGUCACUCUGCCUUGGAGCCAGGUGAGUAUAGACUGAAACCUCCACAAACUGAGAGCUAACUAAACCCAUAAUUUUGAGCUAACUAAUCCCAUAAUUUUGGGCGUCAGGUAUUUUGUCUCUUCAAUGAGAGAAAAUUAACCAAGAUAGUUGGGACUUUGAAAGGUGACUGAAUCACAGGUACACUAUCGCUAGAGGCUGUUAGGAGGCGGAGGUGGCUCACCCAGGGAGUGGCCGGGAAGGGUGUCUUUCCCUCCCUGGCUCCUCCCUAUGCUCUCCACUUGCCAGCCACCACAACUUGAACAAUUUUCCCUCACCCAUGUAAGGACUGAAACUUUUGGAACUUGAACCAAAACAGAUCUCUCCUCCUUUAAGUUGUGAGUGUCCAGUAUUUCUUCUCAGAGCUGAGAAAGUACUAAAGAUAUUACGCAUGGUGAUUUAGGUUAUUUUCACACCUUUCUGUCUGAAUGUGGUUGCGGUGAACACCUCGGGGUCUCCAUUCCCACCACUCCCACCUGCUUUACCUUCCCAGAGAAGGAACUUCCUGUCUUUCACCAGGGAGAUGGGAGGGUAUCCAAGCCUCUUAGCUGCUGCUGCUUCUGCUUGUGCUUUGUAUUUUCAGGGCCAGGGAUGGAACCCGGGGCCCCCAUUUGCUGGGCAAGUCCUCUACCCCUGAGCUGCGCUCUCAGCCCCGAGACCCUCGGCUCUCUUUCCUUUGUCCUUCACGUCCAAAGCUUUGGAGUAUCUGGUGAGGAAUUAAAGAGCUGCAGUGUCCAGCUCUUGAACAGAUUGCCCUGAUACCUUGCUUCCAAUCAAGCCCAGUCUGCAGGGGGAAUUUCUGCCUCUAACCAGAGGGACGCACUUGCUGCCAGCUUUGAAAACUGUAGUGGCAGCAGGCACAGAAAUGUUGAAUGAAAAAUGUAAAAUUGACUUUCUGGAAGCUUUAGGAAGCCGGAAAAGGAGGAGAAGGAAAAGGAAAAGGAGGAGGAGGAAGUUAAUUGUGUUGUUUGGACAAGAAUUCAGUUCAACAGACCAUGUUAUUUUGCAGGCAACCAUAAGACAAGCCUGAUAAAAUAGGACAAAGGAAAAGGCAUUUCUACUGCUCCUUUUUCCAGAAAGCCUGGGUCCCACAACUCUGUGGUUCCCCUGGAAGCUUUGGUGGAUGCUGUCCCGAAGGAAACCCAUGGGACCCUCUUCCUACCACUGGAACACGGUCUGAGGUUGGCAAUGCUGGCGGACAGCAAAGCACUGCAUUAGUGAAGUGAUUUGCUGUUUCCUCUGAUAACCGCGGUGUUUAAUUUAUUGUCUUGGCUUCACUGAGCUAACUUAGGACCUGAUAAUGUCUCAUAGUUUACUGCCUGAAGAGACACUGAAGUGGAAGGUUCUAGAAAGAAUUCAAGACAGUAUAAAGAAGAAACUUCUGGUACUCCUGCAGAUGGAAAUGGUUCCCCUCCACAAGCUUAACUUCACCACCAAGCCAUGAUUGAACUGGGUGACUUAGUUUUCCAAAUCGACAGCUCUAUGAAAAACAAUUAUUAAAGGCCGCUGCUUCAUCAAGCAUGGCUGCACUGAGACAGCAUCGUCCUCAUUGUGGCUAACUGCAUUGCUCAGGCUAAGAGGCCCUUUACUAUUGGCGCAGGGCUCCAGGUCAGAAAAUGCGUUCCUCUUUGAGCUAGUAGCAUAGCUAGACGACCUAAUGAAAGAGUGGAAGAUUUUGAGAUGUUUGCAAUCUAGAUUAUUAGCAAGACUUCCCGUGCUGAUGACAAGAAAGCAGUGCUUGUUUUCGUGGUUGGUAUGUUUUUCAAGAGCAGGUGCAUGGGGAUAUAUAUGUUACAUGCACUUUUGUUGCCAAUGAGCACCGUGGCUGGGGGAAGAUUACCUUCAGGAAAACCGACUUGGUUAUUGUGUGUCAGUGAGUGGCUGAACAGCUUUCUGAUUGUGCUACUUGGGUCAAAGAGUUUGUUUUGCAUGUGAAUCUACACACUGUGCCACCCACAGAGAAAUUCUGGCAAGCUGAAAAAUGUCACCGGAACUUAAUAACUUUUUGCAGGGUGUGAUUAAAAUUGUCAACCACAUUAAAGUAGAUGCCCUUAAUGCACGUCUGUUCGUGCAGCACUGCAAGGAGAGGGAUGAGAGCAUAUGUGUCUCCUCUAAUGCAUAGAUGUGAGCUGGCUCACUAAAGGUAUUUCUCUGGCCAGAGAUUUCUUUUUCAAAAAAAAAUAGUCAUCAUUGGUGGCACAUUUCAGUGUCACAGAAUGGUUCCAAAACUCACUGAUAUGACAUAUUCAACCUGCUGAUUGAACUCAAUCUGUCAUUUAAGGGGCGAAUGACAACUGUGUUCAAGUUGGCAGAUAAAAUUGCCGCAUUCAAAGACAAACUGGGAUUUUGAGGGUGACAAGUGAACAUGGAGAUUUUUGACGUGUUUCAAUUGUUAGCGGAGAUUUGGAAAGAGACUGAGUCAGGGCCUUAUUUCUCCCAGCUGGAGCACAAUCUCCCAUCUUAGCUUUCGAAAGAGUUUGAGCAUUGCUUCUCAACCACAGAACACUCUCGAAUGGGGAAGAGAUGGGUCCGUGGCUUGAUUGGGAGACAGCCAGCUGAUUGGACUUGCUCUGUGUUGGGAGGGGAUCAGUGCUUGAGAUUGCAAGUAAUGAUGGUCUUGAAAGUACGUCUGGGACACACUCCCAUGCAUUCUUGACAUUAAAGUUAAGGCAGAGCAUCCUGAGAUUGACACACAAGUCCUGAAAAGCCUGCUUCCAUUUCUAACAUCCUGCCUUUGUGAGGCAGGGUUUUCUGCAGUGACAGCCACCAAAAUGACAUUAUGAGUAGAUUAGACAUGAGCGACACCCUUCAGGUGUCACUGUCUCCCAUCACCCCCAGAUGGGACCAUCUAAUUGCAGGAAGACAAGCCCAGGGCUCCCAUUGAUCCUGCAUUAUGUGAGCUUUGGAAUUAUUUCAUUAUAUAUUACAAUGAAAUAAUAAUAGAAAUCAAGUACAAAAAUUUAAUGUGCCUGAAUCAUCCUGAAAUCACCCCAAACCCGUGGAAAAAUUCUCUUUUACAAAACCAGUUCCUGGUGCCAAAGAGUUGGGACCAGCAGUUCUAACAGAGUUGAAGACUGCAAGGUCAGCCUCUUGCCCACUAGGGGGCCUAUUAAAGAGCUUGGGACAGAAGACAACGCCUGAGAGGAGCAAUUGUUCCCAGUAGAGGGGUUGGUGCCACCAAACUCCUGGACUAAGUCAAAUCCUGUAAGCUCCACCAGACGACUUCACCUGGGCCCUGGCACUAAACACUGAUAUGAUCCUUCGGGAAAAAGCAGUGUGAUUAUAGAAAAUACUUACGGAGUGCCCAGUCUGUGUCAGACACUGUGCUGAAUGUCUCUUGCAUAUUAUCUCAUUUAAAUCUUCACCGCAACUCUGCACAGUACCAUUAUGUCUAUGUUCAUAAGGAAAACAAGGGCUAAAAAGAUGAAGAAGACAGCUAGAGCCACAGAUCUGGACAAGACAGGGCUGGAACCCAGGAACUCUGCUUUGGGAAGUGCGAGCCUCUGCACCACUGAGGUUGUCGUCCCAGAAUAGACUUUGACCUCUGCUUGCAGUUGUUGGAUUUUACUCAAGGAAAUGAUAAGACAAUGGCCUGAUUCAGAACAAAGUAGAUCUAAAAACCUUAAUGCCCUGUUCUGGUAGGAGAACAAGCAAGUAAACUGUUCACAUAGAAUCACUUACAUUGCCCAGGGUUUUGUUUUUGUUUUUGCCAACUACACUAAUUUUCCUGGGAUAAACUCUUGGUUAUGAUGUAGUAUUCUCUUCUAUAUUACUGAUUUAAGUUUUCUAAUCUUUAAGGAUUUUUAUACAAGUAUUAACUUCCUGAGGAGUAAGGUAUACAUGCAGGUGUGUGUGUGUGUUUGAGUUUUGGUGCUGGGGAUCAAACCCAGGGCCUCACACAUACUUACACAGCCGUAAAACAAAGUCACAUGUAAUAGCAAAGAGUGCU
Cavia porcellus (domestic guinea pig) is the source of this 4055-nucleotide long non-coding RNA. The record is from Ensembl. NCBI's taxonomy places the organism in Eukaryota, Metazoa, Chordata, Mammalia, Rodentia, Caviidae.